This is a long non-coding RNA of Lemur catta (Ring-tailed lemur), 298 nucleotides long. RefSeq lists it as uncharacterized. The transcript is spliced from 3 exons. Lineage: Eukaryota; Metazoa; Chordata; Mammalia; Primates; Lemuridae. The record is from RefSeq and is a predicted model, not a curated record.
UAGGGUGAGGAGCUGACCUCUUCAAUGCAGUAAGGAGUGGAACAAGGUUGGAGCUGCUUUUCAACAUUUAUUUCACUUCUAGUUUCAAGUGCUUUAAGGGGAGAAUCAAGUGUCUCUCUCCUCAAGGGGUUGGGAGAUGCCAUCACAUGGGAACUGAUGCCUGGAGCUGUAGCAGCCGUCUGUAACCACACGUGAGCCAAAGGACAAGGUUGACAUCCUAAGCAAAGGCUGAAAGUGCCUGGAUUCUUUGCUGACAUCACAGAGCCAGACUGUUGUGGUGGGAAGAAGAAGAGUCCCC